UGACAAUGAAGUUGACAUAUUUCUAAAUUUGAACAUUGAUUUCAAUCUAUUUAACAUAGUUCAGUGAUUUAAUUACUCGUAUUUUUUUUAGCGGCAUGAUGUUCAUUUCGUUUUCGAUUUCGUAAAAGAUAACGUUUGUUUAUUCGAACGCGCCAAUUGAGAGACACAAGUGUUGAAUAUCUCGGACAUAUAAACGCGGAGACUCGCUCGCAUCUGCUAACCGACGACGGUGUGACACAAAGUGGGAGGCAAUUGCAAACAGACCCACGCCUUGCUGCUUGAUAUUUGCAUUGGUUGCGGAAACCAGACUGCGUCGAUCGCGCUCGGUCGAAUAAAUGAAUUUAGAUUUGUGAGUUCGCCGAGUGCAAGCAGUUUCCAUUGCUAGGCCGUAUCUGAAUUCGCUUAGCAACACGCGCACACUUCAUAUUUCGGACGGUGCUGAUGUCGCGAAUAACAAACAAUCGUUUGUACCACUUUCUUAUCCUAUUCGUUUCUACGCCACUUUUAUACGCAUCAAAGCAACAAGUUUCUAACAUUUAUAAGUUCUAGGUCAGCAGGAGCGAACAAGAAAAAGACGUAGAAAGGAGAUGAAAAUAAGGCAGGAGGAGGAAGGAAGAUCGAUGCAUAAAGACUGCGGAUCGAGUCCCAGUUUGCAUAAUUCAUUCGACUGGUCGGCGAAUGCAUAUUAUACCUCAGGAUAUCUAGCCGGCUCGAACAGCGGGAUCAGGAUGCAAGGACCUGCGCUCUGAAUAUGAGGUCGAGUCGCCAAAUCGUCUGAAGAUGGUUCGGCAUCGAUAACCGCAACUACUAGCCGUCGCGAGGACGCUAGGAUCUAAAAGGAUCGGGUGUGUGUGCGUGUCCCUCAAAGAGAAAAAUAUUUCGUAACAUUUGCGAGAUAUCCUGACCCGACUACGAAAUUAUGUCAUUGCACGAAUUUCAAGGAUUUUGUUGAAAUCCGCAUUUCAAGCGGCGAGCGCAGUAUGCCAUUCUAAGUUGCGGCAUUUUUUUAUUUUGUACAGCUGUACGUUAAAAGUAGUUCGUGACGAUGCAAGCGCGAAAAAAAAUUAAAGUUACGAGAUAUUUUCGACGACUCAUGUUGAACGUUAAGCGAUUUAACUCGCUCAAACGUUCAGUAGCGUUACUUACAAGCGCGCGGCAUCUGCUCCACCUGUCUAUCGAUUUUUCCGGAAGCGUCGUCGGGGCGGCUUCCUCGUGGCGGAAGGUGCGUGCCCAUAUGGGUGGACCGGAUCUCUCCCUCGUUCCUUCCAUCUCGUCUCUUACACCUCAAGGAACCCACCCCAGGCGAACCGGAAUCAAGUUCAAUUGUCUCGCGGUGGCUUUUGGACGCGUGAGAAAUCUGCGAGCAGCUGUUUCGCCGGGGGUUGCUCUCGCUGCUCGUCGCCGGUAGCGUGUGACGUCACGUCACGUUUUACUUGUCGUUUACUUGGUCAAACGAGGAGGACGUGAUCAUAUGUGCGACGACGGGGAGAGAGAGAGGGAGGAAAAGGGAGAGACGCGCGUAUAUUAUUGCGCAGUGCGCGGAUGCAAAUUAGAGACGUCUCGAAGGGGUUAAAGUUAAGGGUUCGAACGAGACCCUGAGGGCGCCGAAAUACUGGCUAGACCUCCUAUAAGAGGAAACAGGCAGAGUUUCUCGAUAUCCUCUUUCGGAAAUCUCUCGCCGCUCUUUCUUUAUUUCUACGUGUUUCCCACGACCGCCCUCCCGUUACUCGCUUCGGUAUUUUAAUUAGGUCUACUGUUGUUGUUACUUCUAGUUGUGCUUCCGUAACAAUGCGAUUGUGAUCUGCUCGUCAUAAGACUGAUUGUACGUUACGUAUAUAAUUAUGCUAUGUUUUCGUUUAGGGUUUAAGUACAAUGCAAUUGUGUCGAGAAAAUUGGGACGCUAUUUUUGAGAAUGACGAAAUAAUUUUUUGUUACUUAUAUACAUCACAUUGUGUAUUGCGCGUUUUAGUAGUUUCUUUAUUAUUUUCAAAUUUUAUUUUUAUAAUAAAUAAAUCUGUGAUA
Molecule: long non-coding RNA, 2022 nt
Organism: Pseudomyrmex gracilis
Lineage: Eukaryota; Metazoa; Arthropoda; Insecta; Hymenoptera; Formicidae
Exons: 3
Source: RefSeq, a predicted model, not a curated record